ACGAGUUGCGUUCGAGGUCGCUUGCUGGCCUCCCUUUGCGGGGGGGCAUGUGCACGCCUCGCAUCCACUUCAACCACAACCGUGCACUUCAGAGUGACCGCGAGGUCGCUCUUUCACACAAACCACACUUACAAAGUAAUGUCGGAACGUAAACAUGAUGAAAAUAAAUACAACUUUCAACAACGGAUCUCUUGGCUCUCGCAUCGAUGAAGAACGCAGCGAAAUGCGAUAAGUAAUGUGAAUUGCAGAAUUCAGUGAAUCAUCGAAUCUUUGAACGCACCUUGCGCUCCUUGGUAUUCCGAGGAGCAUGCCUGUUUGAGUGUCGUGUAAUCAUCAAUCCCGCAUGAUUUGUUUCUUGCGAGGAUUGGACUUGGGAGCUUGCUGUGCCUCUCUAGAGGUUCGGCUCUCCUUGAAUGCAUUAGCUCGGUCACGUAGUUGCCCGACGGUUCACGGUGUGAUAGUCUAACUUCAUCGCCGUUCUGACCGUUCGGUGCCUGUGCUUUGCCGGCUUCUAACCCCCAUCGUCUUUGACGAAAACCUUUGAAACUUGACCUCAAAUCAGGUAGGACUACCCGCUGAACUUAAGCAUAUCAAAACCCGGGAGGAAA
RNAcentral lists this ribosomal RNA (608 nucleotides) under Rigidoporus cuneatus. RNAcentral describes it as "eukaryotic LSU rRNA". The stretch from base 172 to 325 matches the Rfam family "5.8S ribosomal RNA". The record is from RNAcentral. Lineage: Eukaryota; Fungi; Basidiomycota; Agaricomycetes; Polyporales; Meripilaceae.